Molecule: long non-coding RNA, 2067 nt
Organism: Drosophila sulfurigaster albostrigata
Lineage: Eukaryota; Metazoa; Arthropoda; Insecta; Diptera; Drosophilidae
Exons: 3
Source: RefSeq, a predicted model, not a curated record
AGUGACAAGUGAUAAAAAACAAGGCAAUACAAAGUCACCCACACAAAAGUUCUACAAUAAAGUCUGUGUAACUAUGCGACAUAGUCAAAGACUCCCUCAACACUGCUGCGAGGAUAAUCUAAUGUUAAUGUUGACAUAGGAAAUGUAUAAGGACAAGCAGGAUGCAGCCUCUAGGAGUACUUUUGCCAACUGUUUGUAUUGCGAUAGAUCAACAAGAAGCCUAAGAAGAAAGGAGAGAGAACGCAGAGAAGUAAACGUGAAAAAGAUUACAAAUGCUGCAAGGCAGAGUCGAGUAGAAGAAAAAGGCAAAAGAAAGCAAAUCGAUGCUGCAAAAAAGGAUAGAAGAAGGAAAGGGAGUUGAGUGCUAAGCAACUUGACUGCAAAAAUGCCAGCAAGUAAAUUUUAAACAUCGCACGUGGCCAUAAAAACCAUGAGCCAAGCCAAAGAGUCUAACGAAUGUGCCAGGAGCAGUAGCCAGGACCAGAACCAGGACGAGAACGGAGGAAGGAAGCAGCGUGUGUGUGUGUGGGGGGAACUGCAUUUUAGCGCCAUAUUUUAUACACACUUAAAGUCACACACAGAGAAAACGGCGGAAAAUAAACGGGAUGCAAGCACGAAGUUGGGGUGAAGAAGGAGGAGGAGACGAGGCCUGGAAAAUGGUGAAAACGCUGCAGUCGCCGCAGUGUCAAAGCAAGAAAGGCAAGCGGCAAUGCGGGUAAAGAUAAACGCGACGCAGAGACAACCAGAAAGAGAGAGAUAUGGUAUGUGAGAGCGAGAAGGGAGAUCGAAAAACAAAAGGUCAAAAAGUUUGCAGAAAAGCGUGUGAAAAAGUGAGUGAAAAUGGGUUAAGCAAAUGCCAAGAGCACAACAAAAGAGGCCGCACAAAUAAAAUGCAGGCCAGCUUCAGCUCCAACUUCAACUUUAGCGCCAAUGCCACGCCCACACAUCAGACAAAUACGCGGACUGCGUACAACGCAACAAGACGCAACAAGCAAAACGACGUCCAGCAGACAGCGAACAAGACGUUUAACAAGGCCACACAAAUAAGUUGCCCGAGGGGGGCAACAGCUGUAGAUGAGAGGGGGAGGGGGAGGGGAGAGGGCAACACCGUGGUUUGCCUAAUUAAAAUUUAAUUAAUUAACAAUGCGAUGGGCGCAAAUGGCCAAUGGAAAAGUGUCGAAAUUCGGCAAAUAGCCGCCAUCUGUUUUGUCGACAAAAGAUUUUCCAUUUUCGAAACAUCAAGAUGGAUUUUCGUUUCAUUGAUGGCAAGUGGCAAGUAGCAAGUGGCAAGUGGCAAGAUGGGCACGUGCCGCAGCAUGCCACACAACACAUGGCUCAAAAAUUCUAUUGAUUUCAUUUUCUUCGUCGCUUUGUCGUAAUUGUUGCUUCAAUAUGCCACAUCAUUUUCGGCUCAUUAAUCACUCGACCAUUUUCAUUAGCCACGACCAAAGUUUCUUGGCUCUCUCUAAUUACAUUUCGAUGCUGGCCCCAAAAAUAAAAUAAAAAGAUGAAAGCCAAAUGAAAAUAUUUUAUAGAUUUUCGGCCCACAACAAACAACACGGCCAUAAAUACCAUCGCAUUGACCACAUUUUCUGUGUUCUGAGUUCUACACUCUCUCUUUUAUAAUGUGAAAUUAGGAAAUUAACAAAAUACUCAUUUCAAUUCAUUUGAUUCACUGAAUCGCAAGUAAUUGAAAAUCAAUUGCCAAAGUGAAUCGACAAGGCAUCAACACCUAUUUUGAGUUGAUGAAUUCCAUUUUUAGAAAUCAACUCUGUCCUUCAGAAUAGUCAACUAAACUGUGAUUGCAAACAAACUUAUUGCCAAUUUAUAUUUACUAUCUAGAAAUACUUUUUCUAUAGUUGCAAUUGAAUAGCUUGGUUUGAUAUUGGUGCAAAUUUGAUGAGCAAGUUUUAUUCGCAUCAACUGAGUUAAAGCUAGCAUUAAAAGACGCAUGAAAACUGAAAUGUUGUGAGUGAAAUUCGAUUCAGCUGUAACAAACUUAUUUUGUGCUUCAAUCUAUGGCAAUCCAAUAUUGCAUUUAAACUAAUUUUUACUCCUUUCAUAAUA